CUCCUUCCGUAGUUCUCAUAUCUGGAAUUGCAGUUCCAUUGACUAUUCCCAGGUUUCUUCAAGGGUGGAUGAUUCUCCUUGCCAAGGUUGAACUUUGGCACUGAUCAAAUGGACAAAUUCUUGCCUGGUAAACAUUGCCAGAUGUGGCAGAAAAGGCUGGUACUCACCAAUAUUCAUGUUCUUUUCUUCCUCCUGGACAUGGAGCUCAGCUAGACUCCCAGACUCCCUUGAAGGAGCAAGAAGAAAGCAAGCACACGGAGCCAGGAAGAAAAGACCCUUCCUCCUGUAGCACCCUCGAGUGCCCUCUACUGACAAAGCUUAACAUUGUAUGUCCACUGACAAAGGAGAAAUGUUCACAGGGUCCAUCUUCAGCAUCACAAAGCUGGGCGAUGUGAAGGUGGUCACAAAGCACCGACAUCUACCUCAUGGUUAUGGUAGAGAUGAACCAAGAUGAAGAGUGGAAGGCUUUAGCCCAGGACAGCACUCCCAGAACACGAGUCAGGCAGCUCAGGUCCCUAUAGAACUGAAGAUGCUGCAGGAGAGGAGGAAUCAGUUCAUCAAGAACACAUCAUUCAAGGCAGAGUCAAGUUGGCGACAUGGGAAGAUGUGGAGUUCAUGUCUCCCCACGAUUAGGGCACCUGUCGGAUGCUGGUGGGGGGGACCUUGACACCCAAGGAGACGGAAGGAACACCCAAACGAACCGCUUGUGGGAUCUUGGUUCAUGAGCCAGGGGUCGGGCCGAAGCUCCUGUGGUGGGAGCUCUGAGUCUGAACCACUGGACUAACAGAGAACCUCAGACCCUAGGGAAUAUUCUUUGGAGUGAGGUCUCCCAGAGGUCCUCAUCUCAGCACCAAGACCCAGCUCUACCCAACAGCCUACAAACUCCAGUGUUGGAAAACUCAGGCCAAAGAGCCAGUAAAACAGGAACACAUCCCACCCAUCAAAAAAAAAAAAAAUUAGAUGGCAAAAAAAUAUGUCACAGAUGAAGGAGCAAGGUAAAAACCUACCAGACCAAAUAAAUGAAGAGGGGGACCUUCAAGAUGGCAGAGGAUUAAGACAUGGAGGUCACCUUACUCCCCACAAAUACAUCAAAAAUAUAUCUACAUGUGGAACAGCUCCUAUAAAACACCUACUGAAUGCUGGCAGAAGACCUCAGACUUCCCAAAGGAUGCCCUUAGGCAACCUACAUGCAGAGGUGUGGCCAAAUACAAAGCUCAACCCCAAGAGCUGUGUGAACAAAGAUGAGAAAGGGAAAUUUCUCCCAGCAGCCUCAGGAGCAGUGGAUUAAAUCUCCACAGUCAACUUGAUGCACCCUGCAUCUGUGGAAUACCUGAAUAGACAAUCAUCCCAAAACUGAGGUGGUGGACUUUGGGAGCAACUGUAGACUUGGGGUUUGCUUUCUGCAUCUAAUUUGUUUCUGGUUUUAUGUUUAUCUUAGUUUAGUAUUUAGAGCUUAUUAUCAUUGGUAGAUUUGUUUAUUGAUUUGGUUGUUUUCUUCCUUUUUUAUAUAUAUAUAUUUUUUUCCUUUUUCUCU
This is a long non-coding RNA of Balaenoptera acutorostrata (minke whale), 1534 nucleotides long. RefSeq lists it as uncharacterized. The transcript has 6 exons. The record is from RefSeq and is a predicted model, not a curated record. Lineage: Eukaryota; Metazoa; Chordata; Mammalia; Artiodactyla; Balaenopteridae.